AAGGGAACUGGAAAAGAACACAGAGAGAAGGCCUGUUUGUUAUGUCUGUUCCUUGGUCUAAAAAGAAAGAUUCCGCUGUUAUCUGUCCAUUAAUGAGGAAGGGAAUGGGGUGUGACACGGUGUGUAUUGAGUAUCCAUCCCCGUACCAGUCAGCCGUGGCUAGUUUAAUACUGUUCACCAGAGACUUUGGGUUCUCAGUCUGUGAGACUGUGCUUCCUCCCUCCAAUGGCGAAGAGCACUGUGAUAUACAGGCCACUGAGUUAUGAUGGAUGUGAUCUAUUUCAAUCCGAUGCAGAGCCUUGCAUUGGUAACUUUGGACUGCUCAGAGCACCCUCUCCCUCCAGGGCAGGGACUGCAGUACUGGUGGCAGCCUGGCAUGUAAGCCUGAGUUCUGGGGGACUGUGGAGCAGAGCCCAAACCUGGUCUUGCUGCAUGUCAAUCACACAGCACCUGGAAUAUGAAGUCACACUUCAUGGUUAUAGGCCAUUGAGAUUUAGGGGUCACUUGUAACUGCAGCACAGACUAAUUUUGUGCUGACUAGUGCAGUGUUUUAUAUAACAUAGUGAGGUUUCGAAUUUAGAAAGACUGAGGUAGAAUCUUAACACUUGCUGACUGUGAACAAAUUUAUUAACUCCUCAGAAUGCAGGCAAACCCAGUUUCUUGGCCCGUAAGAUGGCAGCUCUGACUCCUUGCUCACAAUGUUAGUAUUUAUGAAACAUCUGACACAGGAUUGGUAUAUGAAUGCCUGAUUUUGAUGAUUUCAAGUCGUGUGCCCUAGGAAUAGAGGGUGGGAGAUGGGGAGAGGAGAGGAGAGAGAGACUAGGAGUGUGAUAAAGGGUAAUUCGUUAUUGGUGUUUCAAAAGGCACCAGAUAGUGUGGAGAACACUGACCAGGGACCCCAGGGGUAAGAGAGCAUGUGAAGUCAUCUAUGUCCCCUACCUCAAGCUCACAGAAACUCUAAAAGAUAGGACAGGCUCUGAGGUUGUGGUUUACAGUUUCGCUCUUCUAUAACCAGAGGAAAAGUUGGGUCUACCUCCAGGAAUAAAGGAAGAGAUAACAAGACAGAAGAGAUUCCUUCCUCCCAUCUGCAGCACGUCCUUCCAUCCUUCCAACCAAGCCGUGGGGCCAGCAGGGAAGGGACGGAGCGAAUAGCCCAAGCCUUGCAGAGAGGAACUGAUGCCUGGAUUACACCGUACUACGCCUAUUGCUGGAUGGCUGCUGGAAUUGAGGCAAAGGCUACAAGAAAGUCAGGCCAAGAACCCAGAAGAAAGCAAAGCCUACUCCAGAGAUUUUGGAAGAGGGUCCUUAGACAUCAGAGAUCAAGGUUGGAGAGAAACGGUAGAUAGGGACUUCUGGAAAAUAUAACCAGAUUUGACACACCCUCAGAAAGACUGAGAGUCAAUGAGCUCUACCUGGCUAAAGAAAAUGCGCCAUAGCAACCGGAGUUGAAGAUACCACAUAUGCCCAUGUUUGUAUCUCCUUCAGUCUACCCUGUACUGAACUGAUAUUGAGUUUGAGAUUCUUUGUUCUUAGUUGCUUUAAUAAAAAUCUCUGUUUACAUUUA
Long non-coding RNA from Mesocricetus auratus (golden hamster), 1564 nucleotides. RefSeq lists it as uncharacterized. The record is from RefSeq and is a predicted model, not a curated record. The transcript is spliced from 3 exons. NCBI's taxonomy places the organism in Eukaryota, Metazoa, Chordata, Mammalia, Rodentia, Cricetidae.